This 3092-nucleotide long non-coding RNA is filed under the name Cricetulus griseus (Chinese hamster). Its description in RNAcentral is "lncRNA (ENSCGRG00015030508.1)". Lineage: Eukaryota; Metazoa; Chordata; Mammalia; Rodentia; Cricetidae. The record is from RNAcentral.
CACUGGGGUGGAAUUUGAGGUUUCAGAGGCUUAAACUGGGCCCAGUGUCUCUCUUUCUUCCUGCUGCCUGAGGAUCCAGAUUCAGAUGUACAACUCUUGGCUCCUUCUCCAGCACCAUGUCUGUUUGCAAACGGCCAUGCUUCCUGCCAUAAUGACAAUGGUUUGAACCUCGGAACUAACCUGAAUGUUACAUGGAAUACAGGAGGGAUCCAGUAAAUACUCAGAAUGUCACCUGAUUGAAAUCCACAAAUCUAUGCUUCUUUCUCCUUGGAACCCUUGCAGCUCAUCACUACCCUUUUCAUCACUCAUGGACAUGAAGCAAGCAUGUAGACCUCUCAACACCAACCUCUUUCCUGCAAGAAUUGCCCCCUGAUUGUGAGAGAGAUUAUUCGUGGGGAAUUGGCACGGUGGCUCUAUAACUUUCUUUUGUUCUUCACCAGUGAUCUGGAAGGUUUCCAGAGAAAAGUCUCUUUCUUUCCACCUCGGUGAAUUCAAGCAGGGUUGUUGCUGCCCUUCUUGCCUGGAAGACAUUGUCACAGAAUUUUGGAAGAGUCCUGCUUGCUCCACCACAAGGCAACUUCUCUCAUUCAUACUUGUGUUUCCUGUGAGAACCAGUGCAAUGGGGGGGGGGUUAUUCCCUGAGGGGGGCUUUAUCAAUAUCUCUUCCAAUAUUUAUAUGAUGGCUGGCAGAUGCAAUGUUGAGCAGCCCAGGUUUCUUGCACAUUGUAGUGUGGCCACGAUGCCCUGUGACUAACUUGUACAAGUUCAGGGUGAAGUCAAGCUGCCUCCAAAGGCGCCCAUGUUCCUAGGAUAUGUGAGACCUCUGCCCCUUGUUUUUCUGUUGUUUGUGGUGCUGAGGAUUGAACUCAGGGACUUGGGAAUGCUAGACAGUGCUCAGGGCUGUGCCACAGAGCUGCAUCCCCAGCUCUGUGGGAGAGCAGUCUUAAUGGCAAAUAAUUCCACACAGUGAGCAGUGCAAUGGCUUUGCACAUUUUUAUAGAGACAGCAAGAUGUUUUGUGUACUACAGUGAUGGUUGCAAAGUAGCUUUGGGGUGACUGGUUUAGUGUUAUCUCAAGUAAUUUAAUUUCUUUAAAUGAGUCUUUUUACCCUAAGCCUCCAUAUUAGCAUGCCAAAGGUGGAUAACCACUGGUCCUGAUUCAUUGUCCCAUGAUUACUGAUGUAACCAUUCAUUCAUAAGUAUUUGUCACACCUCUGCAACCUAAUAGAGGCAAACUAUACACACAAACCGGAGCUCUCAACCGUGAGGAACUCACAGUCUGCUGAGGGAGUCAGGAGUUCUACACACAAUGUCCUAUGCUGGUUUUAAAACAUGCACCGUGAGCUCUGAGUGCCCAGAUGGAGGAUAGGAGAGGUCUCAAUUCAAACUGAAUAGAGGGUUUCAAGAUAUUCACUGGAAAGGGUUUCUCAGGGUCGAAGUGACUGGAGAGGAGGUAGGGAGAUGAAGUGAGAGGAGGUGAUGGAUUCCUGCCCUCAUCCUCUCCACUUGUCAGUUAAGCUUCAAAGUUGUCCAGGUUCUGCCACCUGUCAACUAAAAUUUAACUGAGAGAAAUCUCUCAUCAAGAGGUUAAUUGUGGCACAGAGUCUCAUUUCCGAGGCUGGGGCGACCCAGCACCGGUGCAGACUGUUUCCUUUCCAGCAUCUGGAGUGUACUGCCUGUUAGAAAAAUACAGAUAUUUGCAAUUGUGUCAUUUCUAGUCCCUAGCUUCUUCCUUCACAGGGGCUCUCUCUGUAUUUAAAAUCUCUUGGCUUUUCAGAGCUUGUCCAGAUGGACCCAGAGCACCUCCAUCUCCCUUGGGCCCUCAUCUCCCUGGCACACCAGGCCCAAGCUGAAGAAGGGGAGAAGAGGAGGGGAGAAGAGGGCAUGAGAGAGCAGGAAGAUUGACUCAGGGGAAGAAUAGAGGAGAACAAGAAAAGAGUAUAAGAGAAGGAGCCAUUAUAGGUUUAAAGAGAAAUCUGGCACUAGGUAAAGUCCAGAGAUCUACAAGGAUGACCCCCCCAACUAACAACUUAAGCAAUAGUGGAGAGGCUACCUUAAAUGCCCGUCCCUGAUAAUGAGAUGGAUGACUACCUUAUAUGCCAUCCUAGAGCCUUCAUCCAGCAGCUGAUGGAAGCAGAAGCAGACACUCACAGCUAAACACUGAACUGAACUCCUGAAAUCCAGUUGCAGAGAGAGAGAGAGAGCAGUGAUGAGCAAAGGGGUCAAGACCAGGCUGGAGAAACUCACAGAAACAGCUGACCUGAACAAGGUGGGGGGCUCCUGGACUACAGACUGAUAGCUGGGAAACCAGCAUAGGACUGAUCUAGACCCCAUGAAUGUGGGUGUUUUGAGGUCUAGACAACCUAGGGGGCCACUGGUAGUGGAUCAGUAUUUACCCCUAGUACAUGAAUGAACUUUGGGAGCCUUCUCCACAUAGAGGGCUAGACACAUGGGAGAGGGUCUAGGCCCUGCUCCAAAUGGUGACAGACUUUGAAGAUCCCCCAUGGAAUGCCUCACCCUCCCUGGGGAGCAGAAAGGGAGUGGGAUAGGGGGUCGGUUUGGGGGAGCAGGAGAGGAGGGGAAGGAGAGGGAACUGGGAUUGACAUGUAAAACAAGCUUGUUUCUAAUUUCAAUUUUAAAAAAGAAAGAGAAAAAAAUUGCCCUCUUUCCUGCUGUCAGUCAUUUAUUUAUAUUCUCAAGAUUCUGUGUCCUUAAAACUUGCUCUGCUUGUUGGUUUCAGGUGACUCAUCCUUGCCCAGGGCAGACUCUGCUCCUGCCCCAGUCACCUGUCAGCCCACUAAUUGAUACAUUAUUCUUUUUCCCAUGGAUAGUUGUUGAAUUUGAGUCUUAUGCUUAUAUCUUUUUUCACAUUUUUAAAGAGCUUAAUUGUAUGUGGAUGAGUGCUUUGCCUGCAUGUGUGCUUGUAUGUAUGUGCACCACAUAUGUGCCUGCUGCCCAUGCAGGUCAGAAGACGGAGUAAGACCCCCUGGAACUCGAGUUAUAAGCAACCAUGGGGGUGCUAGGAACUGAAUGUAUACUGAGCCAUCUCUCCAGCCCAGCGUUGGUAUUUUUUUGUUUGUUUUCUUCAUUUAG